This 440-nucleotide ribosomal RNA is filed under the name uncultured bacterium. RNAcentral's name for it is "partial 16S ribosomal RNA". It matches the Rfam family "Bacterial small subunit ribosomal RNA", at positions 338 to 795 of the family's 1533-position model. The record is from RNAcentral.
CCUACGGUUGGCAGCAGUGGGGGAUAUUGCACAAUGGGGGAAACCCUGAUGCAGCGACGCCGCGUGAGUGAAGAAGUAUUUCGGUAUGUUAAGCUCUAUCAGCAGGGAAGAAAAUGACAGUACCUGACCAAGAAGCCCCGGCUAACUACGUGCCAGCAGCCGCGGUACUACGCAGGGGGCAAGCGUAAUCCGGAUUUACUGGGGGUAAAGGGGGUGUAUAGGGUUUUGUAAGUGUGGAGUGAAAGCCCGGGGCCCAACCCCGGGACUGCUUUGGAAACUGUGUAACUGGAGUACAGGAGGGGCAGGCGGAAUUCCUGGUGUAGCGGUGAAAUGCGUAGAUAUCAGGAGGAACACCGGCGGCGAAGGCGGCCUGCUGGACUGAAACUGACGUUGAGGCUCGAAAGCGUGGGGAGCAAACAGGAUUAGAUACCCCUGUAGUC